This is a small nucleolar RNA of Benincasa hispida (wax gourd), 212 nucleotides long. RefSeq annotates it as small nucleolar RNA U3. Lineage: Eukaryota; Viridiplantae; Streptophyta; Magnoliopsida; Cucurbitales; Cucurbitaceae. The record is from RefSeq and is a predicted model, not a curated record.
ACGACCUUACUUGAACAGGAUCUGUUCUAUAGGUUGUACAACUGUGUCCUUGAGUUCUAAGGAGAUAAGAAUCAAAGUCUGGUGGAUGAAUUAUUUGCCUUGUAACUAGAGCGUGAGUAACUGCCAAUGAACCUUGGCUUCAGUGGCUGUAGAUGAUCGUUCUCAGCAGGCUCCAACCUACUGGGAUUGGUUACAAGGUGAUCUGACAGACU